AGAGGAAUAGCUGGGUCAAAUGGUGGUUCCAUUCCCAGAUUUCCAAGGAAUCUCCAUACUGCUUUCCAUAUUGGUUGCACCAAUUUGCAGUCCCACCAGCAAU
This 103-nucleotide microRNA precursor is filed under the name Marmota monax (woodchuck). The record is from RNAcentral. Lineage: Eukaryota; Metazoa; Chordata; Mammalia; Rodentia; Sciuridae.